GAUGAACGCUGGCGGCGUGCCUAGUACAUGCAAGUCGAACGGACGGACGAGAAGCUUGCUUGUCUGAUGUUAGCGGAGGACGGGUGAGUAACGCGUGGAUAACCUACCUAUAAGACUGAGAAAACUUCGGGAAAGCGGAGAUAAUACCGGAGAAUAUUUUGAACCGCAUGGUUGAAAGGAGAAAGGCGGUCUUGGUGGAAGUUAUAGAUGGAUCCCCGCUGGAUUAGCUAGUUGGUAAGGUAACGGCUUACUAAGGCAACGAGGCAUAUCCGACCGGAUAGGGUGAUCGGCCACACUGGAACUUAGACACGGUCCAUACUCCUGCGGGAGGGCGCAGUAUGGUAUCUUCCGCAAUGGGCGAAAGCCUUACGGAGCAACGGCGCGUGAGUGAUGAAGGUCUUCCGAUCGUAAUACUCUGUUAUGAGUGAAGAACAUAUGUGUAAGUAACUGUGCACAUCUUGACGGUACCUAAUCAGAAAGCCACGGCUAACUACGUG
This 497-nucleotide ribosomal RNA is filed under the name uncultured bacterium. Its description in RNAcentral is "partial 16S ribosomal RNA". It matches the Rfam family "Bacterial small subunit ribosomal RNA", at positions 28 to 507 of the family's 1533-position model. The record is from RNAcentral.